Schistosoma mansoni is the source of this 119-nucleotide non-coding RNA. Lineage: Eukaryota; Metazoa; Platyhelminthes; Trematoda; Strigeidida; Schistosomatidae. The record is from Rfam.
GCCGGCGACCAUACCACGUUGAAAGCACCGGUUCUUGUCCGAUCACCGCAGUUAAGCAACGUCGGGUCCGGUCAAUACUUGCAUGGGUGACCGGCUGGGAAUACCGGGUAUCGUCGGCU